GAGAAGGCUGCGGCGGCCACCACCCAGCCCCAGCCCCCGUCGGGGGGUCCGGCUGUCUUGGGGGACAUCGUCUGCGGGAGUGAACACACGCCUAGAUCACCACAGGGACCCGAGCCACCUGGGACCGGUGCGGAAGGCGGGGGCGAGCUGAGACAGCCAAUCGGUGGAGCCACGGGUGAGGCCAGACUCUAAGUCCCAGGGGGAUUGAAUUAUCCACACACAGCUCUUGGCCAGAGCUGAGGGCGAAGAAUGAACGCCGCCCCGCCCAGCUCAUUCCCAUGUACCUGCGGCCAGCCGCGCAGAGAGGAGACACGUGGAUUGCAAUCCUUACCAAGCCCGCGAUGUGCUGCCCACGCAUGGAAGCAGAGGUGGUCCCCCACACCACAAGGAUGAGUAGUUCUGUUCUCGGGAACCUUGCUGAGGAUCCGGUAAAUCUCGGAGAGCAAUUAAAUCCCUGACCUCAAGAGGUGCCUGCUUCUUGCUCAGUAGCAUGUCCUGAAGGAGGGAGGGAAGAGGGCUCCGGAUGAAGACCUGGGAUGUGCCAGGCACUCCUUUUAACAUGUUGUCGGUUCAUCCUUACACUAGCCCCAUGAAAAAGGCACCAUCCCCCCUUUACAGAUGGAGUAACAAGCCCAGAGAGGGUAGGGAUUUGCCCCCAAUUCACUCAGUGUUUUUUUAAAAAAUGGCUUUAGGUUUGUCCAGCUGCGAGACCAUAAAGGGAGGACAGACCUAGCAGUGAAAUAGAAUCUGCAACAGUUGAUGGAAAUGGCCUGGAGUGGUGCGGUCUGACCUGGAAAUGACAGAACCUUUGCAGGGCCAGGGUCUGGGAACUGAAGAGAUCUUUGUCAUCAGAACCUCUGAAAACUUAGGCUAGAAUUUUGAAAGCAAAGUAAGAAUUGGGGAAUUGAACCCAGGUGUUGAUUUCUUGAAAAGCAUUGUAACAACCUCUUUUAAAAAAACAGGUUAGCAUAUCUGUACUUUAGAUGAUUUAAUCGAGAGAUUUGUUCUUCGGUUUAAUUAUUAAACAGUACCAAUAAAAAUCCAGCAAUGUACAAGUUGGAGCAGGCAUCAGCUGGCAACCACUUGAUGGCAGUGUUUCCUAACCAUUGAAAAAGUAUUUGCAGUGUAAGAAAAAGUAAAGCAACUGCUUAAAGUUGAGAAAGUGUAAGCCUAAAAAAAGGCAUGACUUUUGAAGGCUCUUCAUUGUUUAUAAGGAAGGGAACAAUCUAAUUUCUUUACUUUGUGGAUAAGGCCUUUCACAAUAGUCAAAGCCCUGGGCUACCUUUCCCUUCCAUUUCUCUACCACCACCACUGCCCUCUUCUACCGUCCCAGCCAGCAAGUUUUCACCUGCUCGUGGACAAGAGCCCAUGCGAGUUUAAGGUCCUGCCAGGUACACCAUAGAAAAGUGGCCCCACCGGUUUCCCCAGUGUAGAGUGUUUUUGUGAAGGCCAUCAGGGUGGAGUCAGGAGCUCCUCAAACCACCCAGGAGGGCAGGGAGAGAAUGGUUCCUUCGAAGGCUGCUGAGGACUCUGCUGCAAGCUGAAUGAGGCCAACUAAGACUCGCCACUUCCCCUGUGGUGAAGCUGAAAUGCAGUCAGAGAGGAGACUGGGCCCCCUCGGGCCUGAGAGUUGUACCAAGUAAUGCUGAGCACUUUUGCAGAAUGUGUAUGAACACACAAGGGGAUCCCAGGACCUGGGACUUGCAUGAUUUGUUGUAAAAGAGUAUAUUCUUCUACCUCGUGUUUCCUAUAUUCUUAAUCAGGAUUGCCAUCUGUUGCUUCUGGAGGCAGUACAGUAUAACGAUGGGAAGAAAGGACCCCACGCUAGACUUCCUAGGUUUGGAGUCUAGUUUUGCAACAGCUUAGCUAUAUGAUUGUAAGGAGGUUACUCAAGUUCUCUGUGCCUCUGUUUCCUCAUUUCUAAAAUGGGUGUAGUAGUAGCUAUCUGAUAGAGCUGACAGAAGGAUUAAAUGAGUCACUGUGUAUUCAUGUGUGAGUAAGGGACUUAGAACAGUGUUUGAGUGUGGGAGGUGCUAGUCCCCACUCCUGCCGUUGUUGUAACACAAAGGAACCUGGCUGGACUCUGUCCUGUUGCCCUUUUCCCACCUGGCUACUUCUAUAAAUGUCUCAAAGUCCAGGAAACCCAUUAGUCUGGUGAGUUCCCAGGAGAACCACAGGGAUGGUAAAAUGUGAAUAUCUAUAAAGAGAUUAAAUGGAAAACUUUUUAGUA
Long non-coding RNA from Chinchilla lanigera (long-tailed chinchilla), 2230 nucleotides. RefSeq lists it as uncharacterized. The record is from RefSeq and is a predicted model, not a curated record. NCBI's taxonomy places the organism in Eukaryota, Metazoa, Chordata, Mammalia, Rodentia, Chinchillidae. The transcript is spliced from 2 exons.